Molecule: ribosomal RNA, 497 nt
Filed under: uncultured bacterium
Lineage: Bacteria
Description: partial 16S ribosomal RNA
Rfam family: Bacterial small subunit ribosomal RNA
Source: RNAcentral
GAUGAACGCUGGCGGCGUGCCUAAUACAUGCAAGUCGAGCGAACAGACGAGGAGCUUGCUCCUCUGACGUUAGCGGCGGACGGGUGAGUAACACGUGGAUAACCUACCUAUAAGACUGGGAUAACUUCGGGAAACCGGAGCUAAUACCGGAUAAUAUAUUGAACCGCAUGGUUCAAUAGUGAAAGACGGUUUUGCUGUCACUUAUAGAUGGAUCCGCGCCGCAUUAGCUAGUUGGUAAGGUAACGGCUUACCAAGGCAGCGAUGCGUAGCCGACCUGAGAGGGGGAUCGGCCACACUGGAGCGGAGACACGGUCAAGACUCCUACGGGAGGCAGCAGUAGGGAAUGUUCCGCAGUGGGCGAAAGCCUGACGGAGCAACGCCGCGUGAGUGAUGAAGGUCUUCGGAUCGUAAAACUCUGUUAUUAGGGAAGAACAAAUGUGUAAGUAACUAUGCACGUCUUGACGGUACCUAAUCAGAAAGCCACGGCUAACUACGUG